Molecule: ribosomal RNA, 380 nt
Filed under: uncultured eukaryote
Lineage: Eukaryota
Description: partial 18S ribosomal RNA
Rfam family: Eukaryotic small subunit ribosomal RNA
Source: RNAcentral
CAAUAGCGUAUAUUAAAGUUGUUGCAGUUAAAAAGCUCGUAGUUGGAUUUGUGGCGUACGACGGGCUCCGGGCACUUGUUGUCUGAGUAGCUUGUCGUUGCCAUCCUUGGGUGGAACCUGUGUGGCAUUAGGUUGUCGUGCAGGGGAUGCCCAUCUUUUACUGUGAAAAAAUUAGAGUGUUCAAAGCAGGCUUAUGCCGUUGAAUAUAUUAGCAUGGAAAAAUAAGAUAGGACUUUGUCGCUAUUUUGUUGGUUUGCGCGAUAAGGUAAUGAUUAAUAGGGACAGUUGGGGGUAUUCGUAUUCCAUUGUCAGAGGUGAAAUUCUCGGAUUUUUGGAAGACGAACUACUGCGAAAGCAUUUACCAAGGAUGUUUUCAUUAA